GCCAGACUCCUACGGGAGGCAGCAGUGGGGAAUAUUGCACAAUGGGGGAAACCCUGAUGCAGCGACGCCGCGUGAGUGAAGAAGUAUUUCGGUAUGUAAAGCUCUAUCAGCAGGGAAGAAAAUGACGGUACCUGACUAAGAAGCCCCGGCUAACUACGUGCCAGCAGCCGCGGUAAUACGUAGGGGGCAAGCGUUAUCCGGAUUUACUGGGUGUAAAGGGAGCGUAGACGGUAGAGCAAGUCUGAAGUGAAAGGCCGGGGCCCAACCCCGGGACUGCAUUGGAAACUGCGAGGCUGGAGUGUCGGAGAGGCAGGCGGAAUUCCUAGUGUAGCGGUGAAAUGCGUAGAUAUUAGGAGGAACACCAGUGGCGAAGGCGGCCUGCUGGACGAUGACUGAUGCUGAGGCUCGAAAGCGUGGGGAGCAAACAGGAUUAGAUACCCGUGUA
Molecule: ribosomal RNA, 445 nt
Filed under: uncultured bacterium
Lineage: Bacteria
Description: partial 16S ribosomal RNA
Rfam family: Bacterial small subunit ribosomal RNA
Source: RNAcentral